RNAcentral lists this transfer RNA (72 nucleotides) under Pangasius djambal. RNAcentral describes it as "tRNA-Glu". It matches the Rfam family "tRNA". From Rfam's summary of the family: Transfer RNA (tRNA) molecules are approximately 80 nucleotides in length. Their secondary structure includes four short double-helical elements and three loops (D, anti-codon, and T loops). Further hydrogen bonds mediate the characteristic L-shaped molecular structure. tRNAs have two regions of fundamental functional importance: the anti-codon, which is responsible for specific mRNA codon recognition, and the 3' end, to which the tRNAs corresponding amino acid is attached (by aminoacyl-tRNA synthetases). tRNAs cope with the degeneracy of the genetic code in two manners: having more than one tRNA (with a specific anti-codon) for a particular amino acid; and 'wobble' base-pairing, i.e. permitting non-standard base-pairing at the 3rd anti-codon position. Lineage: Eukaryota; Metazoa; Chordata; Actinopteri; Siluriformes; Pangasiidae. The record is from RNAcentral.
UCCCUGGAGGACCAGUGGUUAGGCCACAGCGCUCUCACUGCUGCGGCAUGGGUUUGAUUCCCGACCAGGGAG